GUAUGGAUUAGAUAAUCGCUGAAAGCAUCUAAGUGAGAAACUAACCUCGAGAUGAGAUUUCCCAUUCGUCAGAAGUAAGACCCCUGAGAGACGAUCAGGUAGAUAGGCUAGAAGUGGAAGUGUAGUGAUGCAUGGAGCGGACUAGUACUAAUAGGUCGAGGACUUAACCAAG
RNAcentral lists this ribosomal RNA (172 nucleotides) under Oenococcus oeni. RNAcentral describes it as "partial 23S ribosomal RNA". It matches the Rfam family "Bacterial large subunit ribosomal RNA", at positions 2753 to 2925 of the family's 2925-position model. The record is from RNAcentral. Lineage: Bacteria; Bacillati; Bacillota; Bacilli; Lactobacillales; Lactobacillaceae.